Molecule: ribosomal RNA, 481 nt
Filed under: uncultured bacterium
Lineage: Bacteria
Description: bacterial SSU rRNA
Rfam family: Bacterial small subunit ribosomal RNA
Source: RNAcentral
GACGAACGCUGGCGGCGUGCCUUACACAUGCAAGUCGAACGGUAACGCGGGGCAACCUGGCGACGAGUGGCGAACGGGUGAGUAAAGCAUCGGAACGUGCCCAGUAGUGGGGGAUAGCCCGGCGAAAGCCGGAUUAAUACCGCAUACGACCUAAGGGUGAAAGGGGGGGAUCGCAAGACCUCCCGCUAUUGGAGCGGCCGAUGUCAGAUUAGGUAGUUGGUGGGGUAAAGGCCUACCAAGCCGACGAUCUGUAGCUGGUCUGAGAGGACGACCAGCCACACUGGGACUGAGACACGGCCCAGACUCCUACGGGAGGCAGCAGUGGGGAAUUUUGGACAAUGGGCGCAAGCCUGAUCCAGCCAUGCCGCGUGCGGGAAGAAGGCCUUCGGGUUGUAAACCGCUUUGUCAGGGAAGAAACGCUCUGGGUGAAUACCCUGGGGUAAUGACGGUACCUGAAGAAUAAGCACCGGCUAACUACGUG